Heterocephalus glaber (naked mole-rat) is the source of this 638-nucleotide non-coding RNA. NCBI's taxonomy places the organism in Eukaryota, Metazoa, Chordata, Mammalia, Rodentia, Bathyergidae. The record is from RefSeq and is a predicted model, not a curated record.
GUUCAUAGUCCAGUGACUCCAAAGCAGGGUGGGAAAGGGUGGUGAAGGAAGCAUAAUGUUUUGAAGGUUCACCCAUGCGGUAGCACAUGAAUCUCCAUGCUGAUUUCCAUAGUGAUUGCAUCAUACAUUCCCACCAGCAAUGAAGAAGGGAUCCUUUUCUCCUGUAGCCUCUCCAGCAUUCCCCCCAUCCCCCUACACCGGUACCAGGCAUUGAACUCAGGACCUUGCACUUGCCAAACAGGAUUCGGACCCUCUCCAUAGCUGUGGCAGCAGUUGGGAAGGCAGCUGACUGAACAGAGAACCUUAUCUCUUUCCAACCUCUCCCGACUAUUGUAAAUAUCAAAUUAAGUCAUUUACACCCUUUGGAAAGAUCUAAAAUGCUAUACAAAUGUAAGGUAUGUUUUUCCUAUUAUUUUUCCUUUCCCCUUAUGAAUAAGACCCUAAAAACAGAGAGAAGUUAUUUUUAGCUUUUACUCCUCGGAAUCAAGUUUACAGUGUAUUAUUGUAAAUUCCAAAUUAGGUUUUGCUAUUCAAAUAGUAUUCUUGGAGGAGGUGGUGAACUUACACCAGGAGUGUGAAUAUGAAUCUUGGCCUUCCUACCACAUUUCCACAUUCCUGCUUAUUUAUUUAUUUACUUU